This 497-nucleotide ribosomal RNA is filed under the name uncultured bacterium. RNAcentral describes it as "partial 16S ribosomal RNA". It matches the Rfam family "Bacterial small subunit ribosomal RNA", at positions 28 to 507 of the family's 1533-position model. The record is from RNAcentral.
GAUGAACGCUGGCUGCGUGCCUAAUACAUGCAAGUCGAGCGAACAGACGAGGAGCUUGCUCCUCUGACGUUAGCGGCGGACGGGUGAGUAACACGUGGAUAACCUACCUAUAAGACUGGGAUAACUUCGGGAAACCGGAGCUACUACCGGAUAAUAUAUUGAACCGCAUGGUUCAAUAGUGAAAGACGGUUUUGCUGUCACUUAUAGAUGGAUCCGCGCCGCAUUAGCUAGUUGGUAAGGUAACGGCUUACCAAGGCAACGAUGCGUAGCCGACCUGAGAGGGUGAUCUGCCACACUGGAACUGAGACACGGUCCAGACUCCUACGGGAGGCAGCAGUAGGGAAUCUUCCGCAAUGGGCGAAAGCCUGACGGGGCAACGCCGCGUGAGUGAUGAAGGUCUUCGGAUCGUAAAACUCUGUUAUUAGGGAAGAACAAAUGUGUAAGUAACUAUGCACGUCUUGACGGUACCUAAUCAGAAAGCCACGGCUAACUACGUG